UAAAAUAUAUUUGCUACUAAACACUAAACAUAAACCCUACACCCUAAAUCCCAAGCCCUAAAAUCUAAUCCGUAAACCCUAAAUACUAAACCUAAAACCUUAAACCCUAAACAUAAAUCCUACACCCUAAACUUAAAAUCCAAAACCCUAAAACCUAAACCCAAAACACUAAACCCUAAACCCUAAACCCUAAACCCUAAACUCUUAACCCUAAACCCUUACACCUAAACCCAAAACCAUAGUCCCCAAACUUUAUAACCAAAAUCGUACUUUAGCUUCUCGAAGCCGGUUGCGGUUCUAGUUCUUAUGCUCAACGAUACACAAAGAAUCUAGUCAUAUUUGGCUAUAAAUCCGCUACCCAAGCCACUUCCUGAUUCUCCAAGCUUUGAUGGUAA
This 395-nucleotide small RNA is filed under the name Arabidopsis thaliana (thale cress). RNAcentral describes it as "ATSL037950". Lineage: Eukaryota; Viridiplantae; Streptophyta; Magnoliopsida; Brassicales; Brassicaceae. The record is from RNAcentral.